Molecule: long non-coding RNA, 1504 nt
Organism: Oryzias melastigma (Indian medaka)
Lineage: Eukaryota; Metazoa; Chordata; Actinopteri; Beloniformes; Adrianichthyidae
Exons: 2
Source: RefSeq, a predicted model, not a curated record
UCUUCUCUUUAUCUUUGCCUCAUGAGAGUAAACACACAGACGAUCGUUUUAUCCCCAAAUGCAGGCAGUUUUCGUCAUAUGCACCGCAAUAAGCUGAGUUAUUCAUCAUUUGAUAACAAGCGAUAAUUUUCUUAUUUUUCUUAUGAAAACAAAAAUGGCUGAAAAAGUCAUCUCUGCCUCUGUGAUUUAUUCUCAAACAAGGAGUACUCAGAGUAAGGAGGAGAGAUGUUGGUCCAGCCCAGAAAGGUUGCUGCUGGCCUCAUGAGUCACCGUUUUCAUUGGGACUCUUAAUGAAAGCAGACUCAGCCUGCCUGACCUCCCCACAUUCCCAUUACCUAUUUAAACAACCUCCCUUAAUUGCUUUAAAAAAUUAAGCUCGUCCUCUGAAUGCUCAUUAAAUGGUACAUUUCAGCUUUAUUUUACGAAGUAACAUGUAUGACUGAGCAACAAUCAAGGAAUAAUUGUAAUAUAUGAUUCCACAUUCGUAAAUUAGACAAAACGUCUACGCUUUAAUUUGCUUUUAUACGUGAAAUAAAAGAUCCCACCACGGCAGCCCUCGCUGCCACGGGUUUUUUGACCUUGUUCUUUCGGCUGUUUACAAAUGCAAAUUACAAAGUUUGAUUUGAGAUUUGAUUUGCUUUCAGCACACAGAUAAAAAAAAGGGCCGCUACUCCGGUUGCAAGGACGUUAGAAGUAGCCGAACCAUUCACUGUGACUGCGGCAGGUUUAAUGAACCCCAAGCCAAAAGGUCUAAUGAAGCGUGCUCCGUUUGCCAAAACAGUCCCUCAGCUUGACCUCCACUGACCUGCGCUCCUCUGUGCCACUUGAAGGUGGGUCUCCAUGGCGACUGGCCUGAAGAGGAGACUGGGCAAAGUUUUCAGAGGAACAAAGAAUGAGCAAACAAAAGCCAGUAAACAAGUUAUCGGAAAUCAGUGCCUCCGUAUCUUUUUCUGGAGUCGGAUUCCUAAGGAUUACAAAUGUUGCUCGUAUCUGCUUCUUUUUCUUAUCCUUAAAAACAAAUCAGUGGUUGACUGAAUUAAGGUUAAAUAGGAAAAGUACUGCUGAUCUCCUGCCAGGAAAACAUUUUUUUCUAACAAGCUCCAUUGCCUUGUCAGCAUCCGAAAAAACCUAAUCACACAAACAAAGCUGCAUGCAGGCACUGCAGUUGUUUAUUUAUUUAUUUAUUUUUAUAAUUCAAGUGAUGCUUAUUAUUUAAAAGAAUAUUUCCUUUAAAAUGCAGUGUGUAGUCAGGGGUAUAAUAGAGUCAAGAAGUGUGUGUGUGCGUGCAUUUGUACUAGUGUGUCAAUGUGUUUGUGUUAACCAUGACUUAAGGACUUAUAAAGUGCAGGGCGCAUAAUUAAACAGUCUUUGUUUAUGCUCGAUAGCGCUGAUAUAAAAACUUAGCUGGCACGGUACGGGGUGGUAUGCUAGGUCACUUUGCUCUCAAUUAAAACCCAACAGACAAAGUGAAUGCAAGUAAACUAAGCAAUCAGCGUAAAAAAAA